RNAcentral lists this small nucleolar RNA (139 nucleotides) under Acanthochromis polyacanthus (spiny chromis). The record is from RNAcentral. Lineage: Eukaryota; Metazoa; Chordata; Actinopteri; Pomacentridae.
AGGCACUUUUUGAACCUGAAUGGCCUUUUCCUUGGCCGUUCACACAGGUCAAAACUAGUGCAAAAUUACACAACGUCUUGUUAUAACUGGGGUUUCUUGGCUUUUUCACCAAGUCUCUCUUUUAAGGCAAGACACAGAA